AUCAGCUGUGUAUGUGCAAGAAAAGGCUGGAGGUGGUACAGGUCUAAUUCACCUCAUGGGGGUCCUCUAGAAUGCAAAUCCACCAGCACUAGAGAUUUAAAGUGAAAUGCCUGGUUAUACACAGCAUCUGAAAAAUGGGCAAUAUGCUCUUUAAGAUUUGUAUUCUUGUCUGAUCCACUGUUAUUAGAUCAUGAAUCCCUUGCAGAAGUGCUUGCUUAAUGGAUAAACAGGAUGAAAUCUUCAGCUGUUCAGAAGUAGGACUGAAAUAGCAACACAGCUCCACUGUCAGCUCCUCAUUAUCUGGGACGAAGACUGGAAGAUAAGAAAAGAAUUUGGAAAAAUUCAGGUAAUUUGCUUAUGUAAUUUGUCACAGCAUUCAGCUCGUACUGUUAUUAAAUUGUGGCUGCAUACCACUGAAAGUUGUAUGUUGCUUUGUUGUGCAGUUUAGUGUCUCGGAUUGCUGAAAAUACAGCCCCCUUGUCCUUACCCCACAGAGGGACCAGUACAUUGAUGACUUUGCUGCUGUAGAGCAGUUGUCUGCAAAGUUGA
This 549-nucleotide long non-coding RNA is filed under the name Coturnix japonica (Japanese quail). RNAcentral describes it as "lncRNA (ENSCJPG00005019410.1)". Lineage: Eukaryota; Metazoa; Chordata; Aves; Galliformes; Phasianidae. The record is from RNAcentral.